UACAGGGGGUGCAAACGUUGCUCGGAAUUAUUGGGCGUAAAGAGCUCGUAGGCGGUUUGUCGCGUCUGCUGUGAAAACUCGGGGCUUAACUCCGGGCCUGCAGUGGGUACGGGCAGACUAGAGUGCGGUAGGGGAGACUGGAAUUCCUGGUGUAGCGGUGAAAUGCGCAGAUAUCAGGAGGAACACCGGUGGCGAAGGCGGGUCUCUGGGCCGUAACUGACGCUGAGGAGCGAAAGCGUGGGGAGCGAACAGG
RNAcentral lists this ribosomal RNA (253 nucleotides) under uncultured bacterium. RNAcentral describes it as "partial 16S ribosomal RNA". It matches the Rfam family "Bacterial small subunit ribosomal RNA", at positions 524 to 776 of the family's 1533-position model. The record is from RNAcentral.